AGUGAACGCUGGCGGUAGGCCUAACACAUGCAAGUCGAACGGCAGCACAGUAAGAGCUUGCUCUUACGGGUGGCGAGUGGCGGACGGGUGAGGAAUACAUCGGACUCUACUUUUUCGUGGGGGAUAACGUAGGGAAACUUACGCUAAUACCGCAUACGACCUACGGGUGAAAGCAGGGGAUCUUCGGACCUUGCGCGAUUGAAUGAGCCGAUGUCGGAUUAGCUAGUUGGCGGGGUAAAGGCCCACCAAGGCGACGAUCCGUAGCUGGUCUGAGAGGAUGAUCAGCCACACUGGAACUGAGACACGGUCCAGACUACUACGGGAGGCAGCAGUGGGGAAUAUUGGACAAUGGGCGCAAGCCUGAUCCAGCCAGACCGCGUGGGUGAAGAAGGCCUUCGGGUUGUAAAGCCCUUUUGUUGGGAAAGAAAAGCAGCAGGUUAAUACCCCGCUGUUCUGACGGUACCCAAAGAAUAAGCACCGGCUAACUUCGUG
This 492-nucleotide ribosomal RNA is filed under the name uncultured bacterium. RNAcentral describes it as "partial 16S ribosomal RNA". It matches the Rfam family "Bacterial small subunit ribosomal RNA", at positions 29 to 507 of the family's 1533-position model. The record is from RNAcentral.